RNAcentral lists this ribosomal RNA (254 nucleotides) under uncultured bacterium. RNAcentral describes it as "partial 16S ribosomal RNA". It matches the Rfam family "Bacterial small subunit ribosomal RNA", at positions 524 to 776 of the family's 1533-position model. The record is from RNAcentral.
AACGUAGGUUCCGAGCGUUAUCCGGAUUUACUGGGCGUAAAGCGCGUUCAGGCGGUUUGGCAAGUCGGGCAUGAAAUCUCUGGGCUCAACCUGGGAGAGGUUGUCCGAUACUGCUAAACUGGAGGGCAGUAGAGGGUGGUGGAAUUCCGGGUGUAGUGGUGAAAUGCGUAGAGAGUCCGGAGAACACCAGUGGCGAAAGCGGCCACCUGGACUGCACCUGACGCUGAAACGCGAAAGCUAGGGGAGCGAACGGG